CAGCAGCCGCGGGAAUACGGAGGAUCCAAGCGUUAUCCGGAUUUAUUGGGUUUAAAGGGUGCGUAGGCGGCCUGUUAAGUCAGGGGUGAAAGACGGUAGCUUAACUAUCGCAGUGCCCUUGAUACUGACGGGCUUGAAUGGACUAGAGGUAGGCGGAAUGUGACAAGUAGCGGUGAAAUGCAUAGAUAUGUCACAGAACACCAAUUGCGAAGGCAGCUUACUAUGGUCAGAUUGACGCUGAGGCACGAAAGCGUGGGGAUCAAACAGGAUUAGAUACCCCAGUAGUCCCUGUCUCUUAUAC
Molecule: ribosomal RNA, 301 nt
Filed under: uncultured bacterium
Lineage: Bacteria
Description: partial 16S ribosomal RNA
Rfam family: Bacterial small subunit ribosomal RNA
Source: RNAcentral